RNAcentral lists this ribosomal RNA (180 nucleotides) under Fuligo muscorum. Its description in RNAcentral is "partial small subunit ribosomal RNA". It matches the Rfam family "Eukaryotic small subunit ribosomal RNA", at positions 1516 to 1684 of the family's 1831-position model. Lineage: Eukaryota; Evosea; Eumycetozoa; Physariida; Physaraceae. The record is from RNAcentral.
CUCUUAAUAGCAGACUANASAGUGCCCGAUUUUCAGGGCGUCCCGCGAUCUAACGGUCGAGGUAACCCGCUAAAUCCUGCCUCGACUGGGACAGCCUACUGUAACUAUUGGGCUCGAACGAGGAAUUUUUAGUAGGCGCAGGUCAUUAGCCUGCGCCGAAUGCGUCCCUGCCCUUUGUAA